GGGGUGGGGGUUAAUAGCUCAGUAGCACAUGCUUAACAUGUAUGAGGUCCUGGGUUCGAUCCCCAGUCCCUCCA
Molecule: transfer RNA, 74 nt
Filed under: Camelus ferus (Wild Bactrian camel)
Lineage: Eukaryota; Metazoa; Chordata; Mammalia; Artiodactyla; Camelidae
Rfam family: tRNA
About the family: Transfer RNA (tRNA) molecules are approximately 80 nucleotides in length.
Source: Rfam by way of RNAcentral